RNAcentral lists this ribosomal RNA (494 nucleotides) under uncultured bacterium. Its description in RNAcentral is "partial 16S ribosomal RNA". It matches the Rfam family "Bacterial small subunit ribosomal RNA", at positions 28 to 507 of the family's 1533-position model. The record is from RNAcentral.
GACGAACGCUGGCGGCGUGCUUAACACAUGCAAGUCGAACGGAAAGGCCUGCUUUCCCUUGUGGAUUGCGGGUGCUCGAGUGGCGAACGGGUGAGUAACACGUGAGUGAUCUGCCCCCAACUUGGGUAUAAGCCUGGGAAACUGGGUCUAAUUCCCGAUAGGACUGCAGGGUGGUGCCUGUGGUGGAAAACGAUUUUCUAGUGGUUGGGGAUGAGCUCGCGGCCUAUCAGCUUGUUGGUGGGGUAAUGACCUACCAAGGCGGCGACGGGUAGCCGGCCUGAGAGGGUGGACGGCCACAUUGGGACUGGGAUACGGCCCAGACUCCUACGGGAGGCAGCAGUGGGGAAUAUUGCACAAUGGGCGGAAGCCUGAUGCAGCGACGCCGCGUGGGGGAUGACGGCCUUCGGGUUGUAAACUCCUUUCGACCGCGAGGAAGCCACCUGGUUGGAAGGGUGGUGACGGUAGUGGUAGAAGAAGCACCGGCUAACUACGUG